GAACGCACAUUGCGCCCCUUGGUAUUCCAUGGGGCAUGCCUGUUCGAGCGUCAUUUGUACUCUCAAGCCUUGCUUGGUGUUGGGUGUUUGUCUCUGCUCUGCUUAGACUCGCCUUAAAUAUAUUGGCAGCCGGUAUACUGGUUUGAAGCGCAGCACAUUUGCAAUUCAAGCCUGCUAUUAUUGGUAUCCACAAAGAAUAUUAACACUUUUGACCUCGGAUCAGGUAGGGAUACCCGCUGAACUUAAG
This 247-nucleotide unclassified non-coding RNA is filed under the name uncultured Phaeosphaeriaceae. Its description in RNAcentral is "sequence contains 5.8S rRNA gene". The stretch from base 1 to 53 matches the Rfam family "5.8S ribosomal RNA", at positions 102 to 154 of the family's 154-position model. Lineage: Eukaryota; Fungi; Ascomycota; Dothideomycetes; Pleosporales; Phaeosphaeriaceae. The record is from RNAcentral.